GCGUGGGUCGGCCCGCUGCGCGGAUCGGGCGGGCCGGGGGAUGCCGCUACCUCAAUCCCCGCGGGUGGCGGAACGGUCCGGGGGGCGGAUUCCGCCUCCCGGACCGCG
Molecule: small RNA, 108 nt
Organism: Streptomyces subrutilus
Lineage: Bacteria; Bacillati; Actinomycetota; Actinomycetes; Kitasatosporales; Streptomycetaceae
Rfam family: Streptomyces RNA 4115
About the family: Identified by deep sequencing of transcriptome at the end of exponential growth phase.
Source: Rfam